UUGGAGGGCAAGUCUGGUGCCAGCAGCCGCGGUAAUUCCAGCUCCAAUAGCGUAUAUUAAAGUUGUUGCAGUUAAAAAGCUCGUAGUUGAACCUUGGCUCUGGCUGGCCGGUCCGCCUCACCGCGAGUACUGGUCCGGCUGGUGCUUUCCUUCUGGGGAACCUCAUGGCCUUCACUGGCUGUGGGGGGAACCAGGACUUUUACUGUGAAAAAAUUAGAGUGUUCAAAGCAGGCCUUUGCUCGAAUACAUUAGCAUGGAAUAAUAGAAUAGGACGUGCGGUUCUAUUUUGUUGGUUUCUAGGACCGCCGUAAUGAUUAAUAGGGAUAGUCGGGGGCGUCAGUAUUCAGCUGUCAGAGGUGAAAUUCUUGGAUUUGCUGAAGACUAACUACUGCGAAAGCAUUCGCCAAGGAUGUUUUCAUUAAUCAGGGAACGAAAGUUAGGGGAUCGAAGACGAUCAGAUACCGUCGUAGUCUUAACCAUAAACUAUGCCGACUAGGGAUCGGACGGGAUUCUAUUAUGACCCGUUCGGCACCUUACGGGAAAC
Molecule: ribosomal RNA, 544 nt
Filed under: uncultured Penicillium
Lineage: Eukaryota; Fungi; Ascomycota; Eurotiomycetes; Eurotiales; Aspergillaceae
Description: SSU rRNA
Rfam family: Eukaryotic small subunit ribosomal RNA
Source: RNAcentral